This is a long non-coding RNA of Bemisia tabaci, 4070 nucleotides long. RefSeq lists it as uncharacterized. The record is from RefSeq and is a predicted model, not a curated record. Lineage: Eukaryota; Metazoa; Arthropoda; Insecta; Hemiptera; Aleyrodidae.
ACUCUAAGCUCUUACUGUAAUUUUUAUAAAAAGGCCACUUGUUCCAGAGCUGCACAAUCCAUCUUCAGCUUUAUUACAACUCUACAAAUUGUGAGUGUAAGAGUCUAAGAGUCAUGAUAGAGCUGAAGAUAGAAUGUGUAGAUUCGAAACACUUGUUCUUUUCGUGAAAAGUGAGUGAGCUUAGAGUUCAUAUUUAUAUACUUAAUGGCUGGGUGUAUCCAUUGUUUUAAAAGUUCAAUGUUUAGAAAUACCUAUCUUGAUCCACAUUAGAUUAAGUGUUGUUCGACUAUAUAAUGCCUCAAUACGCAACAUUCUUCCUGAUCUUCUAAACGAUUCAUUAGCUACAUUUACUGCCAUGCCGGUUCAUAAGGACGGGCACUUACAGAAGCCAUUCUUGAAUCAUUUCUACUGAGUGGAAAUGGCACUCUAUCAUUGCAUAUUAGAGCCUCACCUUAUACUUGCAUCUAAGAGAGGACUAUACCACUACCUCAGAGCGACAUAUGUCAUGCUUGCAAGUUUUUUGGAGCUCUCAACUUGCCUAUGAUGCGUUUUGAUACAUAAGCCUGCUUUUUUGGAAAUAUUUGAAUUUAGUUUUGGAAAAAUCCAAACUUAUCCAAGAAAAAUGAGGCUCUUGACAGAAUCAGCAUCAAAAUUUUUCCCACCAACAAUUUCUAAAUCACCGGCAAAUUCUCUUUCUUUGGUUCCAGCAAAAUAAAAAUUCUGUUGACAAAUUCGUGUUAUAAGAAUUUCAGGCAACAAACACAAAAACUUCUGGGGAAUCAAGGUCAAAUACAUUACCUAUCGGAAAUAUAUAGGGGUGCCCAAUAUAACCCAACCAAAAGAGGUCUGAGGAAAGGAGACCAUCAUCAUCCAAGGUGAGAUCAUCAAUGACUACGAGGAAGUAGAACUCAUCGAAAAUUUUGACCACAGUUGCUGGGCAGAUUUCAAUUCGAUUUUUUGGAUGGAGUGCUUCACAUUUCAUUCCUACCGUUAAAUCAUGUUUAAUUGUUCCCACACGGAUCUGCAAAAAAAUAAGAAUACAAUACAAACAUAUACAAAGUCUUAACAUAGAACUAAGAGAGAUGAUGUGUUCAAAUUAUUAAAAAAAAAUGGGACUUAAAGGGGCCAAGAUCAUAUCAUUUCAUUCACAACAAUGUUCUUAAAGGUUUGUCAUCGCAAAUUGCUCAUAGUUUAAAAAAUGUUCAUGUUAACGAAAGUGACAUUUACAUGUUUCCUACCAAUCAUUUUUCAAAAAUACUGCUUGGUGGGAACUCAUAGAUGUGAAAGAAACUCUGAAAUCAGCUCAGAAUGACGCUGACGUACACUUCCUAGACAAUAAAUCGACAGUGAAAUUCUCGAACCACAUAUCUUGCUCAUUCCUGCUUCACUAGAGACAUUUUUGCAGAGAACUAAUCAACAUCAUUUCCAAAAAUUUUCGCAAAAUAUUUGGCUUACAGAGAAAAUUCAUAGAAGUUUUCAUGGUAUGACAUUGAAUAGGUUUUCUCUGAAAAAAAAUGAAGUACGACAGGCAGUCUGUGACAUUGCACGGUUUGGGACUUCAACUGCCAAUAAGAAUGUUCUAAAGUGCUUUUUAUGCACACUGAAAUUACUUUGCCAUGAGCAUUUUUAAGAAAAUUUCAAGUCAAAAAUGCUCAUCGAGGGCUUAGGAAUAAUAUUGCCUAUCUGACAAUUUGGCACGUUAGGCAAUUUUGGAACUUUGCCACAUUCUACAUUACAAAAUACAAAAGCUAACUUUUUAGGUUUUAUUCUAAUUCCGCAUGGGAGUGCUGUGAUGACACUGUAAUGUAUAACAAAAAUUGCAAAUCUUGCCUCGGAAUUACAAAAAAAUGGCUAAGUUUUUUCUUGCAAAAUCGUUGGUUAGGUGAUACUGUUCGUUAGCCAUCAUCAUGUUAAACAUCUCAUCAAUUCAGUCUAAGAUAGUACACAACAAUAAUUCAGCAUACAUCAUAGAAUGCCACAGAUUUUAAGCGUAGUUAGCUUUUUCCUUUUUCCUUUCUUGACAAUUAUGGCUCUUUGUUGAUAUAAAAUGGACAUACUGAAAAGAAAAGAUUGAGUGGUCUUGUUCAUUAACUAGGAUAAUUUACGGUGGUUUUAUGAUUUAAAACUUAUGUAGGAGGAAAAAAAAAGAGGGAUGACCUGCGGUCAAGUUUGAAUGAGAUGAGAUGGACAAAACAGAAAAACAAUUACCUGAAUAAGAUCUGGGGGGAUAGAAAAAUUACUUCCUUCUUCUAAACUUGAUUCUAAGAUUGAAUUCCACUUGCUAUCAUCCACAUCAGCACUUGUAAUGAUCGAGGAAGGUCUACGAAACUCCAGGGGAUGGCCUGAAAAUGAUGACAUCUAACCCUUGAGCGUAUUCUUACUUACGAAACAACACAUUAUGAAUACAAUUUUAAGGAUAUUGGGAUAGAAAAACACAUUUAUUGUUUUUGGCAUUCUGAGAAGGAAGCAGAAGAGUGCUAAGUUCUCUGCGCUCUACAGCGACAAAUGUACAGUCACUCGAUGUAAAUUUUACUUCAGAAAAAAGUUCCGCAUGUUGAUUGCACAUUAACUCAUUUAGCAGCUAUGCUAACCAAUGUAUAAUGUUUCGAGAUUAGAUUCCAUUAGACUUGUUUACUUCUUUGGCCACUCGUUUACUUUCUUGGCUUUUAAAUGUUUGAAGAAACAACGGCAAGGCAAUGAGCAACUUGGUGAGUCGGUGUCAUAUGAAUAGAAUUCAUUAUUAUACAGAAAAAAAACACCAGCAGAACUUUUACCUCUUAUUUCCCUCCAGGAUCAUUUUUUCGAUCUUUUUUUUCCUGCUUCUUUUUUUUUCUCUGUUCUGUACUAUUGAUCCAAAAAAGAAUCCAGACUUUUAAUUGGUUGAAAAGCAUGUUGCUUCUCAUUCAGUCGGAGGCUUCCAACGUUACAUGACAGACGAACAUAUGAAAUAAACUGAAAUCCCGAGGUUAAAAAAUAUUGUAGGACCUCUCUUUUUUAGUUAAUUUGUCUCACUUUUUGCAGUUGAAAGUAUUUUACAAUCUUGAAGUUAGAAUUUGAAUUACUUACCAUGUUUUUCACAAAACCCUAUCGGAAAUAAUCUAGGCGAUGUGUAAUACAGCCAAAAAUUGGGAGAAUUGGAGACUGGAGAGUCAUAACGUAGCAGGAGCCGCCCACCAACAUUCUCGAUAAUCUGCAAGGCAUCAAAUUAAUAUUAUUCUUUAGAUGACAAUUGCAGAAGAUACUUCUCCUCAAAAAUAUCACAUUUUAUCACAAUAAUGGAAUUCUAGGCUAUUAGAAACACUUAUCUAAUAAAUCAACUUGUGAGUUUUUUGCUACAUCACCAAGAACUAUCUGUUGUAACGUGAAUCAUUGAUUGACUAAAAUCAAUAAGAACUCGUACUCAAAAAUUCAUUAAGUUGUCUGCAGCUUUUCGUGACUUAUACUUAAUACUUCAAAUACUUCCUGCUUCAAAACAAGCUGACUAUCGGUUUAUCAGCGACAUAAAAAAUUUGAAAGUCAUUAGUUCGAGCAACAACAAUCAGCAUAGUAUGAGAAUUAAAAAUAAAUUGUUGAUGAUCAGCAAAGCGCUUCAUGUGCUGACAUCAUAGUACACUUACAGUGGCGAUCCACAAAAAGUGAGGAUUUUUUUCAUCCUGAACUUCUACUUUCAUGCCUUGCUUCAGCCGCUCCACUGGAGUGUAGCCAUCCUAUAAAAAUUAAUAAAAUUCCACUGAGUUUGAUAUAAAUUGUUGCAUGCAAGUGAUUGGGACGGGAAAAUCUAAUAAAGCAACAAGAUCCAUGUGUUUCAAAGAUCAACACUUUUCAAAUCAUGAUAGGUGACAUUCACUUCAAUGGUGCAUGCCACAGCUUCUUCCACCUGGGAUUUUAUUUGAAAUGUUAUUCAUAAAUUAGUGAUAUCAAAAGUGUCCAUUGCUGAUUGACGAAAGAACGAUGGAAAAACAAUGCUGAGACUUGUUUUUUUUUUGCAAAUUGCGCUAUUUUUAAUUGCCCCACACCUACAUGACUAGCUUGAAUCUGUUAACAAAAGAAUAAAGCAACGUUUGUAAGCA